RNA transcript from Pecten maximus, 3217 nucleotides. It is a transcript of the gene named multiple epidermal growth factor-like domains protein 6, with no coding region annotated. The record is from RefSeq and is a predicted model, not a curated record. NCBI's taxonomy places the organism in Eukaryota, Metazoa, Mollusca, Bivalvia, Pectinida, Pectinidae. The transcript has 2 exons.
GAGAUGUACCAGGAGUCUAUAAAGAGUCUAUAAAGACGAUUGUUACAUACUCCUGUUUGUCUGUCAGCAUGUUAGGAGUGAAACGACUGGUUCCCCCAUUCUUAUAUAGUAUAAUGUGACUCUGCAGGAUGUCUUUGGCAGUAUGCUUCAGUGAGGUAGCACUAUAAAGUCGGUAUAAUUUCCUCACUUUCACAAGGAGACCACCACAAACAUACCGCAGCCUCCAAAAACACACAUGAAUCUCGCUCACAGGGGAGGCCAUCCUUAAAAAACCUUAGCUGUUGAUACGAUUUAAACAAUAUAUACUAAACCAAGCAUUCAAUGGAAGGCACCAAGAUGGAAUCUGUUGUUUUGAAAUCAAUUUUGUAUAAAAUUCAAAUUCAGAAAAAUAAUGCAAAUUUAUUGAUUCCCUUGAGAAUUGUCCAUCAACUGCAAUGACAUUUUUUUUUUGGGGGGGGUUACAGAAAAUUGAGUGUGUUGAUGGACAGCUUGAUUUGGUUUAAUUCUUAAUUGAUUAUAUUCCAGUGAGUUUAAUAAUCUGUAACAGUCCUGUACGAUUCUAGCAGUGUUACUUUGUCAUAUUCAUGUAAUAAUAAUAUUCUAUACUAUAAUGACACUCCAUUCCAACACAUCGAGUGCAGCUCUAAAUGUAUCACAUCUCGUCACUAUGCAGUGCUGAAUAUUUAAUGUCGUACACUAGUGUAUGUUAUAUAUGACUCCGUACACCUUGUAUGUGUUUGUGGUCUUUGUUUAUAAUUGCAAUAACUCUACUAAUAACAUUUGUUACUGAAUUGUUGCUGAAAAAAGUCUGCAGAAAACAUUUUAAUAUCUACACAUGUCCAUUUUGAAAGAUUGAAUGCUGAUGACGUUUUCUCAUUUUUUUAAAUUUUUUUUUUGUAAUAGACAUUUAUAUGUUACUGUGACACUACAACUGUGAAAUAAAAUCUGAAGACAUAGACUGUAACCUUGGAGGAGUUCUAAGAACUUUGAAGACUGCAGCAUACUUAAAGACCAUGUGCCUCGAUCUUGUAUACAGGGCCAUCAGACACCAGGAAGGUUUCCUGUAUCCUAUCAUGUGUCAUCUCCAUCAGACACCACAAAGGUUUCCUGUAUCCUAUCAUGUCCAUCAGAAACCAUGAAGGUUUCCUGUAUCCUAUCAUGUCCAUCAGACACCAUGAAGGUUUCCUGUAUCCUAUCAUGUGUCAUCUCCAUCAGACACCAUGAAGGUUUCCUGUAUCCUAUCAUGUCCAUCAGACACCAUGAAGGUUUCCUGUAUCCUAUCAUGUCCAUCAGACACCAUGAAGGUUUCCUGUAUCCUAUCAUGUCCAUCGGACACCAUGAAGGUUCCUGUAUCCUAUCAUGUGUCGUGUCCAUCAGACACCAUGGAGGUUUCCUGUAUCCUAUCAUGUCCAUCAGACACCAUGAAGGUUUCCUGUAUCCUAUCAUGUCCAUCAGACACCAUGAAGGUUUCCUGUAUCCUAUCAUGUGUUGUGUCCAUCAGACACCAUGAAGGUUUCCUGUAUCCUAUCAUGUCCAUCAGACACCAUGAAGGUUUCCUGUAUCCUAUCAUGUGUCAUGUCCAUCAGACACCAUGAAGGUUUCCUGUAUCCUAUCAUGUCCAUCAGACACCAUGAAGGUUUCCUGUAUCCUAUCAUGUCCAUCAGACACCAUGAAGGUUCCCUGUAUCCUAUCAUGUCCAUCAGACACCAUGAAGGUUCCCUGUAUCCUAUCAUGUCCAUCAGACACCAUGAAGGUUUCCUGUAUCCUAUCAUGUCCAUCAGACACCAUGAAGGUUUCCUGUAUCCUAUCAUGUGUCAUGUCCAUCAGACACCAUGGAGGUUUCCUGUAUCCUAUCAUGUGUUGUGUCCAUCAGACACCAUGAAGGUUUCCUGUAUCCUGUCAUGUGUCAUGUCCAUCAGACACCAUGACGGUUUCCUGUAUCCUAUCAUGUCCAUCAGACACCAUGAAGGUUUCCUGUAUCCUAUCAUGUGUUGUGUCCAUCAGACACCAUGAAGGUUUCCUGUAUCCUAUCAUGUCCAUCAGACACCAUGAAGGUUUCCUGUAUCCUAUCAUGUGUCAUGUCCAUCAGACACCAUGAAGGUUUCCUGCAUCCUAUCAUGUCCAUCAGACACCAUGACGGUUUCCUGUAUCCUAUCAUGUCUCAUCAGACACCAUGAAGGUUUCCUGUAUCCUAUCAUGUGUCAUGUCCAUCUGACACCAUGAAGGUUUCCUGUAUCCUAUCAUGUGUCAUGUCCAUCAGACACCAUGACGGUUUCCUGUAUCCUAUCAUGUCCAUCAGACACCAUGAAGGUUUCCUGUAUCCUAUCAUGUGUCAUGUCCAUCAGACACCAUGAAGGUUUCCUGUAUCCUAUCAUGUGUUGUGUCCAUCAGACACCAUGAAGGUUUCCUGUAUCCUGUCAUGUGUCAUGUCCAUCAGACACCAUGACGGUUUCCUGUAUCCUAUCAUGUCCAUCAGACACCACAAAGGUUUCCUGUAUCCUAUCAUGUGUUGUGUCCAUCAGACACCAGGAAGGUUUCCUGUAUCCUAUCUUGUCCAUCAGACACCAUGAAGGUUUCCUGUAUCCUAUCAUGUCCAUCAGACACCAUGAAGGUUUCCUGUAUCCUAUCAUGUCCAUCAGACACCAUGAAGGUUUCCUGUAUCCUAUCAUGUCCAUCAGACACCACGAAGGUUUCCUGUAUCCUAUCAUGUGUCAUCUCCAUCAGACACCACGAAGGUUCCUGUAUCCUAUCAUGUGUCAUGUCCAUCAGACACCAUGAAGGUUUCCUGUAUCCUAUCAUGUGUCAUCUCCAUCAGACACCAUGAAGGUUUCCUGUAUCCUAUCAUGUGUCAUGUCCAUCAGACACCACAAAGGUUUCCUGUAUCCUAUCAUGUCCAUCAGACACCAUGAAGGUUUCCUGUAUCCUAUCAUGUGUCAUGUCCAUCAGACACCAUGAAGGUUUCCUGUAUCCUAUCAUGUGUUGUGUCCAUCAGACACCAUGAAGGUUUCUGAUUUAUUCACUAGGGAAGUGUGACUUUUUUGCCAGAACUACUGAAAAUUCAUGGUAAUUUUUUGUCACCAUUUAUCUAAGAAACAUUCUAAUAAUGAAUUGUUAAAAUAGAUUUUGUGGUAUUUUUUCUGUGUUGUAUAACAUGUAUUCAGUGUGAAGCACAAAAUGUUUUGAAAAUCUUCUACACAAUAAAAUAUUAUCAACUCUA